AUGCAGCGCAGCUCCAAGGCGAUGGCGAACCAUUGGGGGCGUGUCCAGUUGGCGUGCAACAAAUGGCAUGGAAUCGUCGAGGAGGUCGCGGCUCACCCGGAGAGCGGCGCCAGCGUUGAGGAUCAGUUGCUGCGUAUGUUCGCCAUGUAUCGGGGCGACAACCAAGACGCCGACUUCAAACACCUCCACGUCUACAAGCGCAUUGACAAGUGCGAGAAGUGGGCGGAAGUCCGACGUGCCCUCGACAAGGCCAAGGAGACAUACAAGCCGGACGCGACUACUCCGGGCGCGUCAGAGGGGCGGCCGGACGGCCACAAGUUGGCGAAGAAGGGGAAAAACGCCGACGCGGCAACCGCGCGAGUGCAGGAGUCCAUCGAGCAUUGCCUCGCGGACGCGCAGGCCCGGGCCGUCCUGCGCGAAGAGAAGACCGAGGCGCGGUGGUCGUCGCUGAUGAGGAACAACGCCAUCAAACUCGACCUGCUCCGGACGAACGUCGCCGCGAAGAAGAGGAACACCGACAUGGCUUUUCUGAUGGGCGGGACGGACAUGCUCCAGAGCAAUGACGAGAAGCUCAAGGCGUGGUACCUGGUGCAGCGCGGCCUCAUCCUGAACGAGCUGCUGACGGCAACGCCGACGACGCCCACGACGCCCACGACCACACGGACGCCAAGCCCGGACGACGCCUCUAUGCCCAGCAGUGUUGAAGGCGCGCCGACACAGUCCAGCACCGAAGCAGCUCCGACACCGCCGAGCCCGCGCACGCCGACUCCGCCAACGCCUGGAGCCGACCCCGCCGAGUGA
RNAcentral lists this ribosomal RNA (801 nucleotides) under Triticum aestivum (bread wheat). RNAcentral's name for it is "partial small subunit ribosomal RNA". Lineage: Eukaryota; Viridiplantae; Streptophyta; Magnoliopsida; Poales; Poaceae. The record is from RNAcentral.